GACCCGUCUUGAAACACGGACCAAGGAGUCCAACAAGUGGGCGAGUAAAUGAGUGGCAAACUCACUUGCGCAGCGAAAGCGACCGUGGGUAGUGUAUGGCAACAACAAUGGGUAUGCGACACCACGGCGGUACCCCCAAGUGGGCGGAUACCGACGAGCUCACUUGCUGGGACCCGAAAGAUGGUGAACUAUGCCUGGGUAGGAUGAAGCCAGAGGAAACUCUGGUGGAGGUCCGUAGCGGUUCUGACGUGCAAAUCGAUCGUCAAACUUGGGCAUAGGGGCGAAAGACUAAUCGAACCAUCUAGUAGCUGGUUCCCUUCGAAGUUUCCCUCAGGAUAGCUGGCGCACAUUAAACGUAGUUUUGUCAGGUAAAGCGAAUGAUUAGAGGCCUUGGGGCUGUAACAGCCUUAGCCUAUUCUCAAACUUUAAAUGGGCAAGAGCCGGCGGUUGCCUAGUGUGAACUGCCGGCGCAAAUAAGUGCGCCUAGUGGGCCAUUUUUGGUAAGCAGAACUGGCGAUGCGGGAUGAACCGAAAGCAGAGUUAAGGUGCCAUAAUCUACGCAAAUGGACACCACAAAAGGUGUUGAUUCAUCUUGACAGCAGGGCGGUGGCCAUGAAAGUCGGCAUCCGCUAAGGAGUGUGU
RNAcentral lists this ribosomal RNA (642 nucleotides) under uncultured eukaryote. Its description in RNAcentral is "LSU rRNA". It matches the Rfam family "Eukaryotic large subunit ribosomal RNA", at positions 646 to 1283 of the family's 3401-position model. The record is from RNAcentral.